RNAcentral lists this ribosomal RNA (252 nucleotides) under uncultured bacterium. RNAcentral describes it as "partial 16S ribosomal RNA". It matches the Rfam family "Bacterial small subunit ribosomal RNA", at positions 524 to 776 of the family's 1533-position model. The record is from RNAcentral.
AACGGAGGGCGCAAGCAUUAAUCGGAAUUAUUGGGCGUAAAGAGCUUGUAGGUGGUUUUAUAAGUCAUAAUUGAAAUCUUGUGGCUCAACCAUAAAAGCGUUAUGAAACUAUAUAACUAGAGUUUUGUUAAGGGCUAUAGAAUUCUUGGUGUAGCGGUGAAAUGCGUAGAUAUCAAGAGGAAUACCAACGGCGAAGGCAUUAGCCUGGACAAAUACUGACACUGAGAAGCGAAAUCGUGGGUAGCAAACAGG